This 372-nucleotide ribosomal RNA is filed under the name uncultured Inocybe. Its description in RNAcentral is "eukaryotic LSU rRNA". It matches the Rfam family "Eukaryotic large subunit ribosomal RNA", at positions 1 to 365 of the family's 3401-position model. The record is from RNAcentral. Lineage: Eukaryota; Fungi; Basidiomycota; Agaricomycetes; Agaricales; Cortinariaceae.
UUGACCUCAAAUCAGGUAGGACUACCCGCUGAACUUAAGCAUAUCAAUAAGCGGAGGAAAAGAAACUAACAAGGAUUCCCCUAGUAACUGCGAGUGAAGCGGGAAAAGCUCAAAUUUGAAAUCUGGCAGUUCUUGACUGUCCGAGUUGUAAUCUAGAGAAGUGCUACCUGUGCUGGACCGUGUACAAGUCUUCUGGAAUGGAGCAUCAUAGAGGGUGAGAAUCCCGUCUUUGACAUGGACUACCUGUACAUUAUGGUGCGCUCUCGAAGAGUCGAGUUGUUUGGGAAUGCAGCUCAAAAUGGGUGGUAAAUGCCAUCUAAAGCUAAAUAUUGGCGAGAGACCGAUAGCGAACAAGUACCGUGAGGGAAAGAU